UACGUGAGGGGCGAACGUUGUUCGGUGUCACUGGGCUUAAAGGGUGCGUAGGUGGUUUCGUAAGUAAGGUGUGAAAGCCCUCGGCUUACCCGGGGAAUUGCGCCUUAUACUGCGAGACUUGAGGAUUUCAGGGGAAAGGGGAACUCCAGGUGUAGCGGUGAAAUGCGCAGAUAUCUGGGGGAAGGCCGGCGGCGAAGGCGCCUUUCUGGGAAAUUCCUGACACUGAGGCACGAAAGCGUGGGGAG
RNAcentral lists this ribosomal RNA (245 nucleotides) under uncultured Legionella sp. RNAcentral's name for it is "partial 16S ribosomal RNA". It matches the Rfam family "Bacterial small subunit ribosomal RNA", at positions 524 to 768 of the family's 1533-position model. The record is from RNAcentral. Lineage: Bacteria; Pseudomonadati; Pseudomonadota; Gammaproteobacteria; Legionellales; Legionellaceae.